UACGUAGGGGGCUAGCGUUGUCCGGAUUUAUUGGGCGUAAAGAGCGUGUAGGCGGCCUGGUAGGUCUGCUGUGAAAACUCGAGGCUCAACCUCGAGAUGUCGGCGGAAACCAUCUGGCUAGAGUCCGGAAGAGGAGAGUGGAAUUCCUGGUGUAGCGGUGAAAUGCGCAGAUAUCAGGAAGAACACCUAUGGCGAAGGCAGCUCUCUGGGACGGUACUGACGCUGAGACGCGAAAGCGUGGGGAGCGAACAUG
This 253-nucleotide ribosomal RNA is filed under the name uncultured bacterium. RNAcentral describes it as "partial 16S ribosomal RNA". It matches the Rfam family "Bacterial small subunit ribosomal RNA", at positions 524 to 776 of the family's 1533-position model. The record is from RNAcentral.